GACGAACGCUGGCGGCGUGCUUAACACAUGCAAGUCGAACGGAAAGGCCCUGCUUUUGUGGGGUGCUCGAGUGGCGAACGGGUGAGUAACACGUGAGUAACCUGCCCUUGACUUUGGGAUAACUUCAGGAAACUGGGGCUAAUACCGGAUAGGAGCUCCUGCUGCAUGGUGGGGGUUGGAAAGUUUCGGCGGUUGGGGAUGGACACGCGGCUUAUCAGCUUGUUGGUGGGGUAGUGGCUUACCAAGGCUUUGACGGGUAGCCGGCCUGAGAGGGUGACCGGCCACAUUGGGACUGGGAUACGGCCCAGACUCCUACGGGAGGCAGCAGUGGGGAAUAUUGCACAAUGGGCGGAAGCCUGAUGCAGCAACGCCGCGUGCGGGAUGACGGCCUUCGGGUUGUAAACCGCUUUCGCCUGUGACGAAGCGUGAGUGACGGUAAUGUGUAAAGAAGCACCGGCUAACUACGUG
This 468-nucleotide ribosomal RNA is filed under the name uncultured bacterium. RNAcentral describes it as "partial 16S ribosomal RNA". It matches the Rfam family "Bacterial small subunit ribosomal RNA", at positions 28 to 507 of the family's 1533-position model. The record is from RNAcentral.